GACGAACGCUGGCGGCGUGCUUAACACGUGCAAGUCGAACGGAAAGGCCCUGCUUUUGUGGGGUGCUCGAGUGGCGAACGGGUGAGUAACACGUGAGUAACCUGCCCUUGACUUUGUGAUAACUUCAGGAAACUGGGGCUAAUACCGGAUAGGAGCUCCUGCUGCAUGGUGGGGGUUGGAAAGUUUCGGCGGUUGGGGAUGGACUCGCGGCUUAUCAGCUUGUUGGUGGGGUAGUGGCUUACCAAGGCUUUGACGGGUAGCCGGCCUGAGAGGGUGACCGGCCACAUUGGGACUGAGAUACGGCCCAGACUCCUACGGGAGGCAGCAGUGGGGAAUAUUGCACAAUGGGCGGAAGCCUGAUGCAGCAACGCCGCGUGCGUGAUGACGGCCUUCGGGUUGUAAACCGCUUUCGCCUGUGACGAAGCGUGAGUGACGGUAAUGGGUAAAGAAGCACCGGCUAACUACGUG
Molecule: ribosomal RNA, 468 nt
Filed under: uncultured bacterium
Lineage: Bacteria
Description: partial 16S ribosomal RNA
Rfam family: Bacterial small subunit ribosomal RNA
Source: RNAcentral